Limulus polyphemus (Atlantic horseshoe crab) is the source of this 4942-nucleotide RNA transcript. It is a transcript of the gene named pleckstrin homology domain-containing family H member 1-like, with no coding region annotated. NCBI's taxonomy places the organism in Eukaryota, Metazoa, Arthropoda, Merostomata, Xiphosura, Limulidae. The record is from RefSeq and is a predicted model, not a curated record. The transcript has 32 exons.
CGGUAGUGGCGCCAGAGCCUUUGUCGCGUCAUCGUAAUUCUUCGAGUUACGUACCAGUUCAGUGUGACAUCCUGUACCCUUCCUUGCGGCAAAACAGCUAUCUUAGGAUGAACAGAUAGAGCUAUAAAACAAUGUCAGAAUCAGAGGCUCCUCCAGUUUCAGGCCCACCACCACCAGCACCAUAUGAUCACUUGACUGCUUCAUAUUCUAUGUUUUCUUCACUCCCAUCAUUUGAGGCUUCCAGUGAAGAUGAUAUAGACAGUUCACUUUUUGGGUGUAAUUCCAACAACAGUGCCACCAUGUGGCAGAACAAUUCAGAGAUCAACUGGCAGGAGCGUUGUUUUGAACUGGAAAUGUCUUUAGAACGUUUUCGUGAGCAAGCCACAAAAAUCAGAGAACUUCUAAGGAACAAGCUCGUUGAGCUUGAAACAAGACUAGAAGAAGCUGAACGUCGGGCAUCAGCUGCUGAAGAAAAGGCUAAACUAAUGGAAGAGUUGACAACUAUUUCUAAUUGUCAAAAGCAAGAUGAUGCAGCUAGCAACCAAUUCAACUCUUUGUAUGAUGAGAAAGACAAAAUUAUUUCAGCACUAAGACAAGAGCUUGAAAAGCAGAAAAACCUGAGAACUCAAGAGGCUCAGAAAGUAGAAGCCAAGGCUUCUAUACUUAAAACCUGGGUAACAAACAAGCUUAAAGAGAGGGAAGAGCAAAACAGACUUCUGUGGGAAGAAAAUCAACGAUGUAACAGAAAAUUGGAAUUACUGAAGAACCACCUUUAUGAAAUCCAGCAACACCAUACCCAAGAUUUAAAUACAUUCAAUCAUGACAUGGUAUUGCCUGAGGACAUGGAAACAGACCGAGAAGUGCUUAACACAGCAGGAGAACCAUUGGAAAGAAGACUAGAUGUACUAUCAUGGAUUAUUGAACAUGAUGGUGAAAAACAGGAAGUGGGCACUCUUCCACUGGAAGAUGCUCUGCCAAACUUUGCUAUGUAUGCCAAAGUAGAUCACUCUAAAAAAAAAUCAAAUAUAACUAAUUUAACAUUUUCACAGUAUAACAUCGUAGAAAAUCCACAAUAUUUUACUCCAACUGAUGAACUUGAUCAAGUUAUUGCAAGAAUGUGUGAUGUGGAGGUUGAUCAAGAUGCUAGAAUCCAACCAAGUAUUUCUGUAUGCACUAAAGAACCUGGACAUGCGCAAAAGCUUCAGUCAGAACAGAAAAUAAAGCCUAUUCCUCUUCCUCGGCAGAAAAUUGGACCUCUGAAUAAAGAGGAAGGAUCUCCUACUAGUCCUUUGAAUUGGUCCACUAACACUCCAGGAAUACAUGACCUAGCCUUAACAAUUCCUGAGACACCGAACAACACAAAUAAACUCUUCAAUGAGAAAAGUUGUGGUGUAGAAGGUGACAGGAGAAAGAGAGUAUCUGCAGAUAACGAACUUCAUGACUAUGCAGAAAUUUACACUCCCAGUAAUGAACUUCCUUAUUUGGCUACUGGAGAUGCAGUAGAAGAAGGUGAUCCCCCAAGUCCUCCAAAACAUCAAGUUCCACCAUGGGAAAGUAGAAUAUAUGAAAUAGCUGUCAAUGGAAUAAAUACCUUCAAGGAUGAAUGUGCCUCUAAAGGUUUGCCAAUAAACACAAUUAAGAUGUGUUCUAAUGGAGCAUUUACAGACAUAAGCAUUCCAGUCUAUGCUACAGUGAAAGGGAGACCAUCCCAGAUCCGAUCAGUUCCAUUCACUGGAGAAUCAUCGGAUUCUUCAGAUAAUGAAGAAGUCAGAGCUUCAUCACAGACUGUGCCUCUAGACUCACUUUAUGGAUAUAGAUGUCUGCAACGAGUGGGAAAAUCAAGCAGCACCCUUUCUCCUACACCAGUGAGACAUGCAACACCUAUCUCAGUAGUUCCACGGAAAUAUACUGCAACAGGGCUAGAAGAGUUGGUUCCAAGUGAUUAUACUAUUCCACCAGAAACCACAUCCACUGAUUGGACAAGUAAUGAUGCAGGAGAAGCUCAGAAUGUGAGAACAAGUGGAUCAUCAGGAAGUCCUAAAAAGGAAAAGAAAUCACUGGAGAAGAGUGGAUACCUAACAAAACUUGGAGGAAAAUUCAAAACAUGGCAAAGACGCUGGUUUGUUUUGAAGAAUGGAGCCCUUAGCUAUUACAAGACACAGAAUGAUGUCCACAGAAAACCUCAGGGCCAAAUUAUAUUGAAUGAAAUCUGUAAAGUGGAUCGAGCUGAGGGAGCAGCCACGUUUGAGGUUUCCACAGGAAAGAAAACAUACUAUUUGACAGCAGAUUCUGUUAGUACAAUGGAAGAAUGGAUAACAAUUUUGCAAAAAGUUUUGCGACGCAGUGCUUCAAACUUGAUGCUACGUAAAGAAGAAAUGCUAUUUCCAAACAUUGAGGGUUGGCUUACAAAGGUAGCACAAGGAGACUCACGCCACUGCUGGUGUGUUUUGAAUAAUCAAGUUUUAUCAUUUUUCAAGACCCCUAAAGAUACUAGUCCCAGUGGACAAAUCAACCUGACAGAUGCUCGUGUGCAAGCAGUCUAUCCAUCAGAUUCAGACAAGGAAGGCCUUGCUGGGGUAAUGGUAAAGUCUCAGUUUACAGUGGGCAUUUUCUUUGAACAUCAAGGACCAACUUAUCUUCUUAUGUCCACUAAGCAAGAGAUGGAUGAAUGGCUGUUCCACUUGACUGCUGUGUCUUCAGAGAAGCGUGUUGAGGGAACUUCAUAUGAACAACUUGUUGCUCGAUUGAUGGAUGUUGAAGGAGAACAGAAUAACGUCAUUUGGAGGCAUCCAUUGUUAUUGUACUCAAAAGAAAACCUAAGCCAGCCUCUAACGACCUUACCCACUGAACAGCUUCAAACUGAGGCAGGAAAAUUAUUUAAGUCCAUACAGUUGUUUACAUCUGUUCCUCUUGACGCAUCUGGCAUUGACUACCAUGUAGCUCUUGCCCAGAACACACUACAGCAGUGCCUAAUCAUCCCAGAAUUGCAGAGGGAAUUCCUUUGUCAACUGAUUAAGCAGACUUCACAGUGUAAAAAAGGAACACAACUAACACGAAGCUCUCUUCUGUGUAAUGGUACUUCCCAGGAUAAGGUUGUAAUACCAGGAUCCGAACAAAUUGUCCUAGAAGGUGGUGCUAUAGAUCCUCCACCAUACGUCUUUAUACAAGCUUGGCAACUUCUUGCUUUGGCAGUUUCAUUGUUUGUUCCUCUUGGUUCAACGUUGUGGCUUCUUCGUACUCAUUUUAAACGAAACUCUGACCCUAGUUGUGAAUCUGGGAAAUAUGCCAUCUUCUGUCAACGGGCCUUGGAGAGAACCUUGGAGAAUGGUGGACGAGAGUACUGUCCAUCCAGAAUGGAAGUACUCAGCAUUCUAGUCAAGAAUCCCUUCCAUCAUUCACAUCCUCACAGUAUUCCUGUACAUUUUCUUAAUGGAGCCUAUCAAGUAAUUGGGUUUGAUGGAUCAACAACAGUAGAAGAAUUUGUUCAGACUGUGAAUGCCCAAAUUGGGAUACGAGAAUUGGGACUCUCAAGGUUUUCUCUCUAUAGUGAUGACCCAAUUGAUCCAGAAGUGGAGCAUUACCUACAAAAUUCUCUAAAAAUUUGUGAUGUCAUUACAAAAUGGGAACAAGCCUUAAGGGAGAAACAUCUUGGAAAAUUUGAAACCACUAAAGCUGUUAGGUUAACAUACAAAAACAGAAUUUGUCUUCGUCAGUGUUUGAAGGGAGAGAAUGAGAAAGAAAAGUUAUUAACAGCCUUCCAAAUACAUGAAGAUAUAAUGCAAGGGAGGUUCCCUGCAAACAGUGAAUUAAUCAUGGAAUUAGCAGCACUUUUGGCUCAGGUAGAUUAUGGAGAUUAUGGUGGAGAACAUAUUCGAGGAAAUGGUGUUUCCACAAGGGAUCCUGAUGUUCAACUACAGCAGGUUGUAGAACGAUUUGUCCCUGUACGAUAUAGGGAGACAAGGAAUUUGAAAGAUUUCCAGGAAAAAAUAAGAGAGAAGUGGAGGAACAAAACUGGAAGAAGUAUGUUUGACUGUGUCCGAAUCUACUUGAAUAGUGUCAGGAAAUGGUCAUUUAGUGGUUCUAAACUUUUUAGUGCCAAGUUAAAGAUUGGUGAACCAAAAGCUGUGUGGUUAGCAGUAGGAGAAGAUGGUGUAGCAGUGUUAGACUUCACAUCCAUGAAACUAAAGCUCCGGUAUCCUUAUUCAGUGGUGACAACAUUUGGUGGAUGUCGAGAAGAUUUCAUGCUUGUUACUAGUAACUUUGGUACUGACAGUUUCAGUGAAACUUCCACUACAGAAAGAUUUCUAUUCUCAAUGCCUAAACCUAAGAUUUUGGAGAUAACUUUGUUAAUGGCGGACUACAUGAAGGUUAUACCUCUUACUCCCAGUCCGGUCCCUCCACAUGCUCUUACUGGGAAGAUUCAAGCUGCCAUUUCUGGCACAAUUUCUCCCACUCCUCAUGUAAUCAGUUGGACCUGUUGAACAUGUCAUCUCUAAUUAGACAACCUUUUACUUGAUUGCUUGGUCCAACAAGUAACUACUUUGAUUUCCAACUUUCACUGUUACGUCUUUGCUCACACUCAAUCCAUGUAACAACUUUAAUAAUCUCCUAUGAAGUAAUCAAUGAAUACUGGAAUUUCUGACCAUUUUACCAACACUGUAACCCAUGGGAUUACAAGUUGAAGCACUUUUAUCUCAGUAGCACCAUGGCAUGCAAGUGAAUGAGUUCAGGACACAAGAUCUAAAAAAAAGUCCGACUAAAGUACAAGCAUGACAAGGAUGAAUUGUACUUGAGCUAUACCAUGGAGUUUAUUUAUUUUGUGUGUAGAAUAGUUUUUGCAUCUUUGUGUAUUGCAAUAUGUGCCAUUGAGAAGUUUGUUUUUGAACUUGUAAUUAUGUUGUUUUGUAGCAGAACUUGUAAAUAAACUAUACAUCUCUAAGAA